This 871-nucleotide ribosomal RNA is filed under the name uncultured Tumebacillus sp. RNAcentral's name for it is "bacterial SSU rRNA". It matches the Rfam family "Bacterial small subunit ribosomal RNA", at positions 555 to 1427 of the family's 1533-position model. The record is from RNAcentral. Lineage: Bacteria; Bacillati; Bacillota; Bacilli; Caryophanales; Alicyclobacillaceae.
UGGGCGUAAGCGCGCGCAGGCGGUGAUGUAAGUCUGAGGUGAAAACCCGAAGCUCAACUUCGGGACUGCCUUGGAUACUGCGUCACUUGAGGAUAGGAGAGGCAAGGGGAAUUCCACGUGUAGCGGUGAAAUGCGUAGAGAUGUGGAGGAACACCUGUGGCGAAGGCGCCUUGCUGGCCUAUUUCUGACGCUGAGGCGCGAAAGCGUGGGGAGCAAACAGGAUUAGAUACCCUGGUAGUCCACGCUGUAAACGAUGAGUGCUAGGUGUAGGUGGGCUCAUACCCAUCUGUGCCGAAGCUAACGCAUUAAGCACUCCGCCUGGGGAGUACGGUCGCAAGACUGAAACUCAAAGGAAUUGACGGGGGCCCGCACAAGCAGUGGAGCAUGUGGUUUAAUUCGAAGCAACGCGAAGAACCUUACCAGGACUUGACAUCCCAUAGACCAGUCUAGAGAUAGACUUUCCCUUCGGGGCUGUGGUGACAGGUGGUGCAUGGUUGUCGUCAGCUCGUGUCGUGAGAUGUUGGGUUAAGUCCCGCAACGAGCGCAACCCUUACUUUGUGUUGCCAGCAUUCAGUUGGGCACUCACAAGGGACUGCCGCCGAUAAGGCGGAGGAAGGUGGGGAUGACGUCAAAUCAUCAUGCCCCUUAUGUCCUGGGCUACACACGUGCUACAAUGGGCGGUACAACGGGAUGCGAAGCCGCGAGGUGGAGCCAAACCCUGAAAACCGUUCGUAGUUCGGAUUGUANGCUGCAACUCGCCUACAUGAAGCCGGAAUUGCUAGUAAUCGCGGAUCAGCAUGCCGCGGUGAAUCCGUUCCCGGGCCUUGUACACACCGCCCGUCACACCACGAGAAUGGGCAACACCCGAAGU